UUUUAAUGCGAAUUAAUAUAAAAGCCGGUGUUGCAAUCAUUUCAACUGCAUUAAUCAACAAUCGGGUUCGUAGUGAUCAGUGAGUAGUGAAUUUAUUUGGAGUAAAAAUGUCGAUUUUCAAAAACGUGUGUGGUUUGCUGAUGCUUUUGUCGAUGCUGAUGGCAACGGCUGAUGCAGUUAUACCGGAUCGUUUUGCCGGUUUCGGUUGUCACACUGGUUAUUGUUGGACAGCGUGCGAUAACUUUGGGGAGGGUGCUGGCUGGUGUUGGUCCACAAAGAGCUAUUCACAAAGUUAUAGAUACGUAACUUGUAACACUAAUCGGGAUUGCGAACAGAAUUGGAAAUGCGCUUCUAUUUGUAGUGUAUAAUGCAAGAAAUUAGAUUUGACGCUGGAUUGCAUUACAUAAAGACAGCAGAAUAUUGAUUAGUAAUUGUAAAAAUAAACCAACAAAUUUACUUAAAA
Molecule: long non-coding RNA, 463 nt
Organism: Bradysia coprophila
Lineage: Eukaryota; Metazoa; Arthropoda; Insecta; Diptera; Sciaridae
Source: RefSeq, a predicted model, not a curated record